CCUGGGGUAAGGAUGUAGGGCGAGAUGUAGGCAAAUCCGCAUCUCACGUGCCUGAGAUCUGACGCCGAGCCGAUUCAGGUGAAGUGGGUAAUCCUAUGCUGCCAAGAAAAGCCUCUAGCGAGUGUUAAAGCCGCCCGUACCCCAAACCGACACAGGUGGUCAGGUAGAGAAUACUAAGGCGAUCGAGAUAACUAUGGUUAAGGAACUCGGCAAAAUGCCCCCGUAACUUCGGGAGAAGGGGGGCCCGUUCUGGUGAGGAGAUUUACUCUCCGAGCUGGGAUUGGCCGCAGAGACCAGGCCCAAGCGACUGUUUACUAAAAACACAGGUCCAUGCUAAGUCGCAAGACGCUGUAUAUGGACUGACGCCUGCCCGGUGCUGGAACGUUAAGGGGACGGGUUAGCGACUUCGGUCGCGAAGCUCAGAACUUAAGCGCCAGUAAACGGCGGUGGUAACUAUAACCAUCCUAAGGUAGCGAAAUUCCUUGUCGGGUAAGUUCCGACCUGCACGAAUGGCGUAACGACUUGGGCGCUGUCUCAACCGUAGACUCGGCGAAAUUGCACUACGAGUAAAGAUGCUCGUUACGCGCGGCAGGACGGAAAGACCCCGGGACCUUUACUACAGCUUGGUAUUGGUGGUCGAUUCGAUUUGUGUAGGAUAGGUGGGAGACUGUGAACUUCGGACGCCAGUUCGAAGGGAGUCAUCGUUGAAAUACCACUCUGAUCGUAUUGGCUGUCUAACCUAGAUCCGUAAUCCGGAUCAGGGACAGUGCCUGGUGGGUAGUUUAACUGGGGCGGUUGCCUCCUAAAAUGUAACGGAGGCGCUCAAAGGUUCCCUCAGCCUGGUUGGCAAUCAGGUAUCGAGUGUAAGUGCACAAGGGAGCUUGACUGUGAGACUGACGGGUCGAGCAGGGACGAAAGUCGGAACUAGUGAUCCGGCGCUGGCAAGUGGAAGCGGCGUCGCUCAACGGAUAAAAGGUACCCCGGGGAUAACAGGCUGAUCUUGCCCAAGAGUCCAUAUCGACGGCAUGGUUUGGCACCUCGAUGUCGGCUCGUCGCAUCCUGGGGCUGGAGUAGGUCCCAAGGGUUGGGCUGUUCGCCCAUUAAAGCGGCACGCGAGCUGGGUUUAGAACGUCGUGAGACAGUUCGGUCCCUAUCCGCCGCGCGCGUAAGAGUCUUGAGAAGAUCUGUCCCUAGUACGAGAGGACCGGGAUGGACGAACCUCUGGUGUGUCAGUUGUCCUGCCAAGGGCACUGCUGAUUAGCUACGUUCGGAAGAGAUAACCGCUGAAAGCAUCUAAGCGGGAAACUCGCUUCAAGAUGAGGGCUCUCACAGGGUUAACCUGGUAAGGCCCCCAGUAGACCACUGGGUUGAUAGGCCGGAAGUGGAAGUGCGGUAACGCAUGCAGCUGACCGGUACUAAUAGGCCGAGGACUUGACCU
Molecule: ribosomal RNA, 1438 nt
Filed under: metagenome
Description: bacterial LSU rRNA
Rfam family: Bacterial large subunit ribosomal RNA
Source: RNAcentral